RNAcentral lists this ribosomal RNA (385 nucleotides) under uncultured bacterium. RNAcentral's name for it is "bacterial SSU rRNA". It matches the Rfam family "Bacterial small subunit ribosomal RNA", at positions 123 to 541 of the family's 1533-position model. The record is from RNAcentral.
UAUCUACCCUUUGGCCUGGAAUAACACGAGGAAACUUGUGCUAAUACCGGAUAAGUCUUUACGGAGAAAGCUUUAUGCACCAUUGGAUGAGCCUGCACUUGAUUAGUUUGUUGGUGGGGUAAUGGCCUACCAAGACUGUGAUCAAUAGCCGAUUUGAGAGGAUGAUCAGCCACAUUGGGACUGAGACACGGCCCAAACUCCUACGGGAGGCAGCAGUGGGGAAUCUUGCACAAUGGAGGAAACUCUGAUGCAGCGAUGCCGCGUGAGUGAAGAAGGCCUUUGGGUUGUAAAGCUCUUUCGUCGGGGAAGAAAAUGACUGUACCCGAAUAAGAAGGUCCGGCUAACUUCGUGCCAGCAGCCGCGGUAAUACGAAGGGACCUAGCGU